AACGUAGGUCCCGAGCGUUAUCCGGAUUUACUGGGCGUAAAGCGUGUUCAGGCGGCCUGGCAAGUCGGGCAUGAAAUCUCUCGGCUCAACCGGGAGGGGCUGUCCGAUACUGCUGGGCUUGAGGGCAGGAGAGGGUGGUGGAAUUCCGGGUGUAGUGGUGAAAUGCGUAGAGAUCCGGAGGAACACCAGUGGCGAAAGCGGCCACCUGGCCUGCACCUGACGCUCCAACACGAAAGCUAGGGGAGCGAACGGG
RNAcentral lists this ribosomal RNA (253 nucleotides) under uncultured bacterium. RNAcentral describes it as "partial 16S ribosomal RNA". It matches the Rfam family "Bacterial small subunit ribosomal RNA", at positions 524 to 776 of the family's 1533-position model. RNAcentral also lists the same sequence under 1 other name. The record is from RNAcentral.